Molecule: non-coding RNA, 30 nt
Filed under: Homo sapiens (human)
Lineage: Eukaryota; Metazoa; Chordata; Mammalia; Primates; Hominidae
Source: RNAcentral
UGAUCACACCUGGUUUAGUGAUGGCAGUUC